GUGUUCAUGGUCUGCGGCGACACACCCCUCCCAUACCUAUUAUUAUUAUCUUUCAUUUUCUUUUGUCUCGCCCUCACAACCCGCCCAUUUUCCACGUUCAACCAACCUCACCUCGUUUCCUAUUUGGUGCACACCAGUUGGCGCGCGAGUGGGCGUCUUCUUGCGUCAAGUGUGCGGGUGCGUUCCCUGCCCCCUCUCCCCACUACCAGACGCUCACACACGCACAGCCACACUCACCGACACAUACGAGCGCUUGAGCAAAGUACAACGAAGACGACAAGCGAGGCAAGAGAAAGGGGCUACACAAGGUAAAACGCAUACAAACAGAGAUAGAUAGCCACACAGCCAACACACGCCGUCGUGCAUAUAGAGAUCGACCCGUGCCUCUCCCCACCGCGCUCGCUCGCGCGCGUUCUCUCCAGACACGCAAGACCCCAUAAGCGUACCUACAGCUGCACUCAAGCAUACCUAUACGCAGGAAGCGUCAGCGUGCUUCCAGCAGGAGAAAAAAUGGGCAAAACCGUCGAACAGAUUUAUCAGAAGAAGACGCAGCAUGAUCACAUUCUCACGCGUCCUGACAUGUACAUCGGCACAAUUGAGCCGGUGACAGACGACAUCUGGGUCUAUGACGAUGCAGAGAACACUAUGAAGCAGCGCAAGUGCACCUGGACACCCGGGCUGUACAAGAUCUUUGAUGAGAUACUGGUCAAUGCGGCAGACAACAAGGUACGCGACCCGAUUGGCCAGACCGUCAUUCGGGUGUGGAUGACGGAGAACUAUGUGCGAGUGUACAACAACGGCGAGGGCAUCCCAAUCCAGAAGCAUCGCGAGCACGAUCUCUGGGUGCCGGAAAUGAUCUUCGGGCACCUUCUUACCUCCUCCAACUAUGACGAUGAGGAGGCAAAGGUGACGGGCGGGCGCAACGGCUUCGGCGCGAAGCUGACGAACGUAUUCUCGAAGCAAUUCGAGGUCGAGACCGUGCACAGCCGCUCUCGCAAGAAGUUCUACAUGAAAUGGGCGAACAACAUGCUGCAACACGACGACCCCGUUAUCGUGCCGUGCGACAGCGCCGACUACACCAUGGUCACCUUCUACCCCGACUUUGCACUCUUCCACGUCGAUAAGUUUAGCGAGGACAUGCUGCUGAUGAUGAAGCGGCGCGUGUACGACGUCGCGGGGUGCACCGACAAGACACUCAAGUGCUUCCUGAACGAUGAGCGCAUUGCCUGCACCACCUUCCCGGAGUACGUCGACCUCUACCCCACCAUGGGCGAGGAGAGGAAGGCGGCGAGCUACUCGCGCGUGAAUGACCGGUGGGAGGUGUGCGUGCGGGUGUCGAACAUUGGGCCGCAGCAGGUGAGCUUCGUCAACUCCAUCGCCACCACCCGCGGCGGCACACAUGUCAAGUACAUCAUGGACCAAAUCAUCUCCAAGGUGGUGGAGCAGGCCAAGAAAAAGAAGAAGACAGACGUGAAGCCGCACAUGAUUAGGCCGCACAUUUUUUUAUUCGUCAACUGCCUAAUUGAGAACCCCGGCUUCGACUCGCAGACAAAGGAGACGCUCAACACGGUCAAGAGCAAGUUCGGCAGCACGUGCGACCUGCCCAACAGUAUCGUCGACUACAUCAUGAGCUCCGGCAUUGUUGAGCGCUCAGUCGAGAUGGCUAACAGCAAGAUCGCAAGGGAGAUGGCGUCCAAGAUGAGGUCGUCGGACCGGAAACAGAUCAUGGGCAUCCCGAAGCUAGACGACGCCAACGAGGCGGGCGGCAAGCACAGCCACCGCUGCACGCUCAUCCUCACAGAGGGUGAUUCAGCCAAGACACUCUGCACGGCCGGCCUGGCGGUGAAGGAUCGGGACUACUUUGGCGUGUUUCCGCUGCGCGGCAAACCCCUCAACGUGCGCGAGGCGUCGCUGAAGAAGCUGGCGGCCUGCGAGGAGAUCCAGUGCGUUAUGAAGAUUAUGGGGCUCGACAUUCGCCAAAAGUACGAGAACGCAGACGGGCUGCGCUACGGUCACCUUAUGAUCAUGUCCGAUCAAGACCAUGACGGGUCGCACAUCAAAGGGCUGCUCAUCAACUUCAUUCACUGCUUCUGGCCGAACCUGCUGCGGGUGCCUGGCUUUCUUCAGCAGUUUAUCACGCCGAUUGUGAAAGCCCGACCAAAAGGCCGCGGCGGGGCCGGCAAGGCCAUCUCCUUCUUCUCCAUGCCGGACUACUUCGAGUGGAAGAAGGCGAUUGGCGACAACCUGAGCAAUUACCAAAUUCGGUACUACAAGGGUCUCGGCACGUCCGGCGCUGAGGAGGGCCGCGAGUACUUCGAGAACAUCGACCGGCACCGCCUCAACUUUGUGGAGCAGGAGCAGAGCGAGGAGGACCGCAUUGUCAUGGCGUUUGGCAAGGACCGCGUCGAGGACCGCAAGGAGUGGAUCACGAACUUCAAGACGAACGUGAACGUGAAUGAGUCGAUGGACUACAACGUGCGCCAGGUGUCGUAUCGAGACUUUGUGGACAAGGAGCUGAUUCUCUUCUCCAUCGCCGACUGCGAGCGCAGCAUCCCGAGCGUGAUUGACGGCUUCAAGCCCGGCCAGCGCAAGAUCCUGUUCUCCUGCUUCAAGCGCAACUUGGUGAACUCCAUCAAGGUGGUGCAGCUUGCCGGCUACGUCUCGGAGCACUCCGCAUACCACCAUGGCGAGCAGUCGCUUGUGCAGACGAUCGUCGGAAUGGCGCAGGACUUUGUGGGCAGCAACAACGUCCCGCUGCUGCGCAAGGAUGGCCAGUUCGGUACGCGUCUGCACGGUGGCAAGGACCACGCCGCGGGCCGCUACAUCUUCACCCGGCUCAUGCAGGUCUCCCGGGCCAUCUUCCACCCGGCCGACGAUUUUGUGGUCGAGUACAAGGACGACGACGGUCUCUCGGUGGAGCCUUUCUUCUACAUUCCGGUCAUCCCGAUGGUGCUGGUGAACGGCACGACGGGCAUCGGCACCGGGUUCAGCACAAGUAUCCCGAACUACAACCCGCUGGAGAUCAUCAGCAACCUCGAGCGCCUCAUGCGGGGCGAGGAGGUGCACAAGAUGCAGCCGUGGUACUUCGGCUUCACCGGCACAAUGGAGGAGAAGGAGCCGGGCAAGUUCGUCUCCCACGGCAGGUACGAGAUACGCCCGGAUGGGGUGGUGUGCAUCACGGAGCUGCCGAUCGGCGUGUGGACGCAGGCGUACAAGAAGUUCCUGGAGGACAUGCGGGAGAAGGAGCUCGUGGUGCAGUACCGCGAGCACACGACGGAUGUGACGGUGGAUUUCGAAGUGUUUCUGCAUCCCCAGGUGCUGGAACAGUGGGUUUCGCAGGAUGUCGUGGAGGAGCGGCUGCAGCUGAAGGAGUACGUGCACGCGACGAACAUCAUCGCUUUCAACAAGGAGGGCCAGAUCACCAAGUACUCGGACGCGGAGUCGGUGCUCAAGGAGUUCUAUCUCGUGCGCCUCGACUACUACGCGAAGCGCAAGCAAUACCUCUUGGGUGAGCUGCGUCGGCUGACGAGCAAGCUGGAGAACAUGGUCCGCUUCGUGCGCGAGGUGGUGGAGGGCACGCUCGUUGUGACCAAGCGGAAAAAGAAGGAGCUGCUCGAGGACCUGCAACGGCGCAUGUAUCUGCCCUUCCCGCCCUACACAAAGAAGAAGCUGUCUUCGACAACCGUGGAGGAGGGGGACGGCGAGGGGGCGCCCGACGCGCAGAACAGCGAGGAGGACGUGCUGGGCAUGGGGAACGCCGCCGAUGGUGGAGCAGACGACGGCGCGGCAGAGCCGCCGGAGGUGCGUCGUGCCACUCGCGACUACGACUACCUGCUUGGCAUGAAGCUGUGGAGCCUCACGGCGGAGAUGAUUGCGCGGCUGGAGGCGCAGAUGGACCGGGCCCGCCGCGACACUGCCACGAUGGAGGCCCGCACACCGAAAGAUAUGUGGAUGGAGGACCUCAAGGUGCUGCGCACCAAGCUGGAGAGCUUCUACGCGGACCGCGAAGUGGAGAUUGCUACCAUUCAACGCAAGAAGGUGAAGAAGCCGUUUGACGCUCGACGACUGCGCGUGCCGAUCUUGUCCGACAAGGCGCGCUCUCUGCUGCAGAAGGAGGCGGAGAAGGCUCUGAAGGCGAACGGCGUCGGCGGCCGCCGUCGCGUCGGCGGUGGCGAUGACGCGCUUGCCGGCGGAGCUGCCUCGGCCCUUGGCGAGGCCGCGCGGCCGAAGCCGAAGAAGGCCGCGGCGAAGAAGCGACGCAAGGCAAAGGACAGCGAUGAUGACGACAGCGACUCCGAUGAGGAGUGGAUGUUUGACAACAACGACGAUGACGAUGAGGGCGAGAACAUCGUCGGUAUGGGUGAUGCCGGAGCGCCGCCGGUGCCGGAGAGGGCACGGGCGUGCGACUCCCCGAAGAGGCCCCGCGCAGCUCCGAAGCGCCACGCAGCAUCGCAGCCGCGCAAGAAGGUGCGUAACAGCGACGACGACGACGACUCAAGCGACAGCAGCAACAGCGGCAGCUCCAAGCCAGUGAGGCGCAGGCCCAAGAAGGAGGCGACAUCGUCAGUCACUGCUGCCGCUACGAAGACUUCGGCUGAUGACCUUGACCUGGACGGCUUCGGACUCGAUGCGCUCACCUCCGCUCCAGCGGCGAGCGCCGCUCCGAAGAUGGCCAUGACUGCCGCGUCCCUGUCAAACGGCGGUGCAGCGCGCUCCACAAAGCCCACCGCAGACGCCGACGAUGAUCUCCUCCUGCUGGGGCUCGGCAAGGCGAAGACAAAGACAGCUCCACAGGCUGCCACAGCAGCCAGCAGGAGGGCCACUGUCGCCUCUGUCCGCCCUACAAAGCCGCACGCGAAGCCGGCUGCUCGGCGGCGACGCCGCGGCGGCAGCAGCGACUCGAGCGAUGAUGACGACGAAGACAGCACCGAUGCGUCGGCGUCGUCAUUGGAGGAGUCCUCCGCGUCAUCCGACUCCGGCUCCGACUACAGCUUCAGUGACUAGAGUUAGCAGUCGCACAGGGCGAUUGCGAAGCUGGCGAAGGCAUGUCUCUCCUGAGCGCCCCUGCGUCUUCACAUACCGACUUUUUCGGAGCCGAGUCGCGAGUGCGAACUCGCACACAUACACAGGCACAGAGGGAGACACGUCGAGUACUUGGUCAUGCGUACGCAAGCACGAAGGACAGGCUCCAGUCGGAUGAGCCCCCUUCCUCCCUUGGCACAUGCACACAAACGCUCUUCUUUUCUGCAGCUUGUCGUCGCACCGCGCGCCGUCUUCUGUCGUCCUCACCACUUCCUCAUUGGGCUGGCACGGGCCACACGCGCGGGCGUGUACUCGCCAUCAUUGGGAUGGGGUGCUUCAGCGAUGAUGUGAUGUGGCAAACGCCCUGGAGCUCUGAGGAUCCGCAAAUGGACAU
RNAcentral lists this unclassified non-coding RNA (5416 nucleotides) under Leishmania donovani. RNAcentral describes it as "gene:LdHU3.28.3310(CDS-product:mitochondrial_DNA_ topoisomerase_II)". Lineage: Eukaryota; Euglenozoa; Kinetoplastea; Trypanosomatida; Trypanosomatidae. The record is from RNAcentral.